Molecule: unclassified non-coding RNA, 327 nt
Filed under: uncultured fungus
Lineage: Eukaryota; Fungi
Description: partial contains 5.8S ribosomal RNA and internal transcribed spacer 2
Rfam family: 5.8S ribosomal RNA (bases 1-132)
Source: RNAcentral
UGGUUCUGGCAUCGAUGAAGAACGCAGCGAAAUGCGAUAAGUAAUGCGAAUUGCAGAAUAAGUGAGUCAUCGAAUUUUUGAACGCACAUUGCGCCCCUCGGUAUUCCUUGGGGCAUGCCUGUUCGAGCGUCAUUAUCAACCCUCAAGCUAUGGCUUGCCGUUGAAUUGAUCCACUAAAGCGGAUCUUCUCCAAAGAUCGUGGCAAGGUAUUCAAAUCCUAAAUGCAAUGAGCAGUUUCAUUACUAGCACGUGUUGAUGGAAAUGAUCUCCUUCAGUCUAUCUGAAUUUUACAAGGUUGACCUCGGAUCAGGUAGGGAUACCCGCUGA